Long non-coding RNA from Sinocyclocheilus anshuiensis, 148 nucleotides. RefSeq lists it as uncharacterized. Lineage: Eukaryota; Metazoa; Chordata; Actinopteri; Cypriniformes; Cyprinidae. The record is from RefSeq and is a predicted model, not a curated record. The transcript is spliced from 3 exons.
UACAGAAGUGAUCAGAUAGUGCUACGUCCUUAAUAACAAUGGAUGAAAUGUUUAGACCUCUACUGAUGAGUAAAUCUAGAGUAUGUCCUCGACUGUGUGUGGGUCCAUGCACAUGCUGAAUCAGGUCAAAAUACAAAAGCAUUAUUCA